GACCCCCUAGCUCAGUGGUAGAGUAUGAGAUUCCAGUGAUCGUUGACCUUCCAGUCAAAGGUUCGUUGCUUCCUCAGGGUCAUCCGUUCAAUCCGGGUGGGGGUCA
Panaeolus papilionaceus is the source of this 106-nucleotide non-coding RNA. Lineage: Eukaryota; Fungi; Basidiomycota; Agaricomycetes; Agaricales. The record is from the annotation of a GenBank genome assembly.